This 738-nucleotide long non-coding RNA is filed under the name Homo sapiens (human). RNAcentral's name for it is "HSALNT0035790". The record is from RNAcentral. Lineage: Eukaryota; Metazoa; Chordata; Mammalia; Primates; Hominidae.
AAAGAAAUGGCAAGAACUGCCUGCAUGUGUAUCAGGUUAGACAAGGAGAAGCGAUUGCAGAGAAUAACUGGAUAUGUGGCGAGGUGCAAGGGAGAGAAUUACUUUAACAAGGUCUGUUUGCAGGGAAUUCUCUUGGCGACAACUCCCCAUUGAAGAAUGUUCCUUUCUUCUGGAGAAAGGAGGGCACCUUUCACGUGGGAGUUUUUGUCUCCUGUUUUCCGGGAAAGAAGGAAGAUCAGAGUGCCCUCGUUGCAUCUGCUGUUUUCAAGUUGCCUUAGCUUGAGCCUGCUCAUCAGAAUUAGCCACAUGUCCCUGAGCCAACUACAAUGGAGCCUGGAAUAUGCAAUCUUCCCCAGCAUCUGGGAGAGGAAAGUGAACAUGGAGCAUUGUCUUGGCUGUGGUGGCCAACAAACAUUGGGACAGAACUUGAUUGUAGGGGCACCAGUGGGAGGCGAGUGUUAUGAUCCGAUGGCUUCACUUGUGAUCUAUUCUUCAUGAUAAUAUAGGCUAAACCUGAGCCCUGGGCUCCAGGACAGGCAGUCUGCUGCCUUUGACUAAUUUUUAAGUGCAGAGGUGCUGGGCUUCUCUGUAGAGGAGCAGCACUGCUGAAUCACAGUGAUUUUCCUGGAGAGAGAGUCCUAGGAGGGGAUUCCAGCUGUUCCCCACCCCACCUGAAGCAAAGGCUAUUAUUCCCACAGGAGUGCUCCUGGGGAGCCUGACACCACCAGGGAGGAGCCG